Molecule: ribosomal RNA, 1498 nt
Filed under: metagenome
Description: bacterial SSU rRNA
Rfam family: Bacterial small subunit ribosomal RNA
Source: RNAcentral
AGAGUUUGAUCCUGGCUCAGAACGAACGCUGGCGGCGUGCUUAUUACAUGCAAGUCGUGCGUGAAAGAGGGGCAACCCUCGAGUAAAGCGGCAAACGGGUGAGUAACACGUAAGCAAUCUACCUUCAAGCUUGGGAUAACCCUGCCAACGCGGGGCUAAUACCGGAUGUGGUCUUACGAUCGCAUGGUUGUAAGAUCAAAGGUGACCUCUACAAGUAAGUUACCGCUUGAAGAUGAGCUUGCGUCCAUUAGCUAGUUGGCGGGGUAACGGCCCACCAAGACUGUGAUGGGUAGCCGGCCUGAGAGGGUGAACGGCCACAUUGGGACUGAGAUACGGCCCAGACUCCUUCGGGAGGCAGCAGUAGGGAAUUUUGCGCAAUGGACGAAAGUCUGACGCAGCAACGCCGCGUGAGUGAUGAAGGUCUUCGGAUUGUAAAGCUCUGUUGAAUGGGAAGAAAAGUUUUGGAGAUAACACCUCCGGAGCUUGACGGUACCGUUCGAGGAAGCCCCGGCUAACUACGUGCCAGCAGCCGCGGUAAUACGUAGGGGGCGAGCGUUGUUCGGAAUUACUGGGCGUAAAGGGAGCGUAGGCGGAACCGUAAGUUAGAAGUUUAAUUCCCGGGCUUAACCCGGGGCGGGCUUUUAAUACUGCGGUUCUUGAGUAUGGAAGAGGGAGAUGGAAUUCCAGGUGUAGCGGUGGAAUGCGUAGAUAUCUGGAAGAACACCAGCAGCGAAGGCGGUCUCCUGGUCCAAUACUGACGCUGAGGCUCGAAAGUUAGGGGAGCAAACAGGAUUAGAUACCCUGGUAGUCCUAACCGUAAACUAUGGAUACUAUGUUGGGGGAGUCAAUCUUCUCAGCGUCGUCGCUAACGCAUUAAGUAUCCCGCCUGGGAAGUACGCCCGCAAGGGUGAAACUCAAAGGAAUUGACGGGGGCCCGCACAAGCGGUGGAGCAUGUGCUUUAAUUCGAUGCAACGCGAAGAACCUUACCUGGGUUUGACAUGGGAGUGACAGUUUCCGGAGACGGGAGCUUUUCCGCAAGGAACACUCUACACAGGUGCUGCAUGGUUGUCGUCAGCUCGUGUCGUGAGAUGUUAGGUUAAGUCCUGCAACGAGCGCAACCCUCGCCCUUAGUUGCCAUCAGGUCAAGCUGGGAACUCUAAGGGGACUGCCUAGUUUAACUAGGAGGAAGGUGGGGAUGACGUCAAAUCAUCAUGGCCCUUACGUCCAGGGCAAGACACGUGCUACAAUGGCCGGUACAAUGGGAUGCUAGACUGCGAAGUUACGCUAAUCCCACAAAACCGGUCUCAGUUCGGAUUGGAGUCUGCAAUUCGACUCCAUGAAGCUGGAAUCGCUAGUAAUCGUGGAUCAGCAUGCCACGGUGAAUACGUUCCCGGGCCUUGUACACACCGCCCGUCAAGCCAUGAAAGAUGGCAGUACCCAACGUCGCUUCUCUAACUCGCAAGAGGAGAGUGCGCCUAAGGUAAGGCCAUUGAUUGG